GCCCUGGUGGUGCAAUGGUUAAGCACUUGGCUGCUAACUGAAAGGUCGGUGGUUCAAACCCUCCAGGGCC
Molecule: transfer RNA, 70 nt
Filed under: Loxodonta africana (African savanna elephant)
Lineage: Eukaryota; Metazoa; Chordata; Mammalia; Proboscidea; Elephantidae
Rfam family: tRNA
About the family: Transfer RNA (tRNA) molecules are approximately 80 nucleotides in length.
Source: Rfam by way of RNAcentral